CUCGCCUUUAGUUGCCAUCAUGUUUGGGUGGGCACUCUAAAGGAACUGCCGGUGACAAGCCGGAGGAAGGUGGGGAUGACGUCAAGUCCUCAUGGCCCUUAUGUCCUGGGCUACACACGUGCUACAAUGGCGGUGACAGAGGGAAGCUAGGUCGCGAGGCCAAGCCGAUCCCUAAAAGCCGUCUCAGUUUAGAUUGCACUCUGCAACUCGAGUGCAUGAAGGUGGAAUCGCUAGUAAUCGCGGAUCAGCAUGCCGCGGUGAAUACGUUCCCGGGACUU
RNAcentral lists this ribosomal RNA (278 nucleotides) under uncultured bacterium. RNAcentral's name for it is "partial 16S ribosomal RNA". It matches the Rfam family "Bacterial small subunit ribosomal RNA", at positions 1104 to 1382 of the family's 1533-position model. The record is from RNAcentral.